GACGAACGCUGGCGGCGUGCUUAACACAUGCAAGUCGAACGGAAAGGCCCUGCUUUUGUGGGGUGCUCGAGUGGCGAACGGGUGAGUAACACGUGAGUAACCUGCCCUUGACUUUGGGAUAACUUCAGGAAACUGGGGCUAAUACCGGAUAGGAGCUCCUGCUGCAUGGUGGGGGUUGGAAAGUUUCGGCGGUUGGGGAUGGACUCGCGGCUUAUCAGCUUGUUGGUGGGGUAGUGGCUUACCAAGGCUUUGACGGGUAGCCGGCCUGAGAGGGUGACCGGCCACAUUGGGACUGAGAUGCGGCCCAGACUCCUACGGGAGGCAGCGGUGGGGAAUAUUGCACAAUGGGCGGAAGCCUGAUGCAGCAACGCCGCGUGCGGGAUGACGUCCUUCGGGUUGUAAACCGCUUUCGCCUGUGACGAAGCGUGAGUGACGGUAAUGGGUAAAGAAGCACCGGCUAACUACGUG
This 468-nucleotide ribosomal RNA is filed under the name uncultured bacterium. Its description in RNAcentral is "partial 16S ribosomal RNA". It matches the Rfam family "Bacterial small subunit ribosomal RNA", at positions 28 to 507 of the family's 1533-position model. The record is from RNAcentral.